Bactrocera oleae (olive fruit fly) is the source of this 1584-nucleotide non-coding RNA. NCBI's taxonomy places the organism in Eukaryota, Metazoa, Arthropoda, Insecta, Diptera, Tephritidae. The record is from RefSeq and is a predicted model, not a curated record.
AAGAAACUUCAGCUGCACUGAAGCUAUAAUACCUUUCACAGAUGCAUUACGUAUUGCAUAAAAGGGUAUCAACAUUUCUUUGUUUUAAUUUUUAUUGGUCAAUUUGCAAGGCAGCUAUAUCCUAUAGUAGUACGAUUUCAGUGAUACUGACAAAUGUAAUGCUUCUUGUGUAGAAAAGAACGUGUGCAAAAUUUCAGAUCGAUAUCAUCGAUAUAGCAAAAGCUGAGGAACUUGUUCGCGUAUAUAUGUAUGCAUGUACAGACAGACGGACAUGACUAAAUCGAACUAUUGUUGUAGCGGCCGAAAACAUUCCUGCAGCAAUUUCGACGAAUGGUGCCGAUUUGACACUUAUUGGCCGGUUAAAAAUUCAAGUCCAUUCCGGUUAUUUAGACCCGAUUGUCGUGAGAACGCUGGGUUUUCGUCGAUUCCUUCUGGAUCCUACCAGCUUCAUGGCUAACUUAAUAUUCGCUGUUCAAGGUAUAAAUAUAUUCUUUACAGGCGUCACAAUCGAGUGCGUUACUAAGACUUCAUGGGUGAUUUUUCGGUCGCAAAGAAAUUUAAAAUUGUAAGCAGUCAAAACUUUGUGUGUGUUGCUGACCUAUAAAAGCCCUUUAAUAUGAUAUUAGACUACCGAAAUGGCUUCAAAUCUUGCAGGAUCCUUUAUAUUUAUAAACCCACACAUCACCAAGAGAAAUCGAGGAGGUAGGAAGGAGGAAUAUGAACAAAAGCGUGGCCCAAACACUGGCAGCGGCUAGAAUAAAAUGUGUAUCAAAAAUGUAAACAACGCAAUGUUACGAGCAAUAUAACCGCACUGGAGAUAUACCCAUAUAGUACAAACUUAUGCUUAAGACUACUGUUCACGGAAAGAAAUGUGCAUAAAAAUGACCCUGUUCGGAAAACAUAAAUGCAAUAUAAAGUGGCACGAGAAAAGCUAGCAAUAAGCACUUAAGGAAAAUUUAAGUUCGAAAAAAACUAUAUCAGCGACGAAAAGAUUCGUUUUAAAAUAUGAUUCGUGGAGACGUCAAUUAAAAGCCUAAGUUAAACACCAAGACAGAGAUUGCCUGCGGAUAUAAAGCUAUAAGGAUAAGGAGGUCCAAACCUUGUGUAUAAAAUUUACAACGUCGGAAACACGAUUAUUUCGAAAUUAAAAAUGCUAAUGCGAAGCCAAAAUUUCGAAAAAUAGCCAAAACAAUAUUUUUUCUUUGGUCAACAGUCAUUAAAAGAGUAAGGGGAUAUCCUAAUAUAGAAAUCUGUAAACAUCAAGAAUAUUUUUUUCAUAUUUCAGUGGUUUAAAUAUUUAAAAAUAUCUCCGUAAAAGGAUUUUUUAAAAUUCAAAUUAUUUUCAAAGUUCGAGCUGUUUUAGUGUCGUGGCAACUAAGCCGGUUUAGCCUUAACUGAAAACUAUAAAUCAGGUUAAAUGUACUAUGACCGUAUGUAAAUAUCGUAAAAAAAAAACAUCUUCGGGCAUAUUGGAUUCUUCUUUACCAUCUUUUGAAUAUAGUUGCCUUUAUCAUCAUUUCGGGCUGUACAGCGAAAUUUUCAGCAGGCCUUGAGCUUAUCAAAGCCUAUGAGCUUUUCAAAUAA